Molecule: ribosomal RNA, 353 nt
Filed under: uncultured bacterium
Lineage: Bacteria
Description: bacterial SSU rRNA
Rfam family: Bacterial small subunit ribosomal RNA
Source: RNAcentral
AGAGUUUGAUCAUGGCUCAGGAUGAACGCUAGCUACAGGCUUAACACAUGCAAGUCGAGGGGAAACGACAUCGAAAGCUUGCUUUUGAUGGGCGUCGACCGGCGCACGGGUGAGUAACGCGUAUCCAACCUGCCCACCACUUGGGGAUAACCGUGCGAAAGUAAGACUAAUACCCAAUGACGUCUCUAGAAGACAUCUGAAAGAGAUUAAAGAUUUAUCGGUGAUGGAUGGGGAUGCGUCUGAUUAGCUUGUUGGCGGGGUAACGGCCACCAAGGGCGACGAUCAGUAGGGGUUCUGAGAGGAAGGUCCCCCANAUUGGAACUGAGACACGGUCCAAACUCCUACGGGAGGCA